GCGAUACCCGAAUGGGGAAACCCAGUGUGACUCGUCACACUAUCAUUAACUGAAUCCAUAGGUUAAUGAGGCGAACCGGGGGAACUGAAACAUCUAAGUACCCCGAGGAAAAGAAAUCAACCGAGAUUCCCCCAGUAGCGGCGAGCGAACGGGGAGGAGCCCAGAGCCUGAAUCAGCAUGUGUGUUAGUGGAAGCGUCUGGAAAGGCGCGCGAUACAGGGUGACAGCCCCGUACACAAAAGCGCAUGUGCUGUGAGCUCGAUGAGUAGGGCGGGACACGUGGUAUCCUGUCUGAAUAUGGGGGGACCAUCCUCCAAGGCUAAAUACUCCUGACUGACCGAUAGUGAACCAGUACCGUGAGGGAAAGGCGAAAAGAACCCCGGCGAGGGGAGUGAAAAAGAACCUGAAACCGU
RNAcentral lists this ribosomal RNA (412 nucleotides) under Salmonella enterica. RNAcentral's name for it is "partial 23S ribosomal RNA". It matches the Rfam family "Bacterial large subunit ribosomal RNA", at positions 107 to 559 of the family's 2925-position model. The record is from RNAcentral. Lineage: Bacteria; Pseudomonadati; Pseudomonadota; Gammaproteobacteria; Enterobacterales; Enterobacteriaceae. RNAcentral also lists the same sequence under 4 other names.